AGUUCCCUGUCCUAACCACACACGUGUUGUUCAUUCAUUCUCUUUCCUCCUGCAUACGAGAACAGUCAGCAUGAAUGGAGGCGGCAUGAGUGAGUAUUGGCCAUCCAACCCACCUGGCUGAAGGGAAGCUCAUUGAUGACUAUAAUGUAUUAGUUACAAAGACCUGCGUGUGGGUUAUGCCUCAAUGCCAGAGUCACGUGGAAUCAUCCACUAACAGUUAACCAUGAACUAGUAAUUAAUGGCAAAGUCUGUCAGAGAAACAGAAGACUGUAGUGCCUUGCUUAGUAGAUACAAUUGAUGGCCUUCCCUCUGGGACGCGUGCAGUGAUUGUGGUGCCUUGGUCUCCCACCAUCAGAUGCCAUUCAGAUAUUUCUGAAAGAGGAAGUUUAUAUUGUAUGCCAUAUUUAUUUUAAGUGUAUUGUCUUGCCAAUAAACAAGUGUUUUUCCCACUC
Misgurnus anguillicaudatus (oriental weatherfish) is the source of this 452-nucleotide long non-coding RNA. RefSeq lists it as uncharacterized. NCBI's taxonomy places the organism in Eukaryota, Metazoa, Chordata, Actinopteri, Cypriniformes, Cobitidae. The record is from RefSeq and is a predicted model, not a curated record.